CACGCACACAAACAAACACAGGCAAAGGCAAACGUGGAGCCUGAAUGCCAAUCACUGGACUUACAUCAGCAUCCGAACCAAAACACACACAAAGAGGCAAACAUGGAGCCUGAAUGCCAAUCACUGGACUUACAUCAGCAUCCGAACCAACACACACACAAAGAGGCAAACGUGGAGCCUGAACGCCAAUCACUGGACUUACAUCAGCAUCCGAACCAA
RNAcentral lists this long non-coding RNA (219 nucleotides) under Lathyrus oleraceus (garden pea). RNAcentral's name for it is "Pisum sativum (pea) long non-coding RNA (PSAT_LNC005468)". Lineage: Eukaryota; Viridiplantae; Streptophyta; Magnoliopsida; Fabales; Fabaceae. The record is from RNAcentral.